AACGAACGCUGGCGGCAUGCCUAACACAUGCAAGUCGAACGAGACCUUCGGGUCUAGUGGCGCACGGGUGCGUAACGCGUGGGAACCUGCCCUUAGGUUCGGAAUAACUCCCCGAAAGGGGUGCUAAUACCGGAUAAUGUCUUCGGACCAAAGAUUUAUCGCCUUUGGAUGGGCCCGCGUUGGAUUAGCUAGUUGGUAGGGUAAAAGCCUACCAAGGCGACGAUCCAUAGCUGGUCUGAGAGGAUGAUCAGCCACACUGGGACUGAGACACGGCCCAGACGCGGGGGGGAGGAAGGGGUGAGGAAUAGGGACCAAUGGAGGAGGGCAGGAAGCAGGAAAGCGGUGUGGGGGGAGCAUGGCUAGGGGAUGUAAAGCUCGUUGACGAGGGAAGAGAACAACGGCGGUGGAAGAAGAAGCCCGGCCUAACGCCCGGCCACCAGCGGAGCAAACAAUCGGAGGAGCACCCGUCAGAAC
Molecule: ribosomal RNA, 474 nt
Filed under: uncultured bacterium
Lineage: Bacteria
Description: partial 16S ribosomal RNA
Rfam family: Bacterial small subunit ribosomal RNA (bases 20-302)
Source: RNAcentral